Molecule: ribosomal RNA, 423 nt
Filed under: uncultured bacterium
Lineage: Bacteria
Description: partial 16S ribosomal RNA
Rfam family: Bacterial small subunit ribosomal RNA
Source: RNAcentral
AAUAUUGGACACUGGGGGCAACCCUGAUCCAGCCAUGCAGCGUGGGUGAAGAAGGUCUUCGGAUUGUAAAGCACUUUAAGUUGGGAGGAAGGGCUUUAGGUUAAUACACUGAAGUUUUGACGUUACCAACAGAAUAAUCCCCUGCUAACUUGGUGUCAGCAGCCGCGGUAAUACAGAGGGUGCAAGCGUGAACUGGAAGUACUGGGCGUAAAGCGCGCGUAGGUGGUUCAGUAAGAUGGGUGUGAAAUCCCCGGGCUUAACCUGGGAACUGCUUUCAUAACUGCUGAGCUAGAGUACGGUAGAGGGUAGUGGAAUUUCCUGUGUAGCGGUGAAAUGCGUAGAUAUAGGAAGGAACACCAGUGGCGAAGGCGACUACCUGGACUGAUACUGACACUGAGGUGCGAAAGCGUGGGGAGCAAACAG